UACGAAGGGGGCUAGCGUUGCUCGGAAUCACUGGGCGUAAAGGGUGCGUAGGCGGGUCUUUUUAAGUCAGGGGUGAAAUCCUGGAGCUCAACUCCAGAACUGCCUUUGAUACUGAAGAUCUUGAGUCCGGGAGAGGUGAGUGGAACUGCGAGUGUAGAGGUGAAAUUCGUAGAUAUCGGGAGGAACACCAGUGGCGAAGGCGGCGAUCUGGGUCGAUACUGACGUUGAGGUGCGAAAGCGUGGGGAGCAAACAGG
RNAcentral lists this ribosomal RNA (255 nucleotides) under uncultured bacterium. RNAcentral's name for it is "partial 16S ribosomal RNA". It matches the Rfam family "Bacterial small subunit ribosomal RNA", at positions 524 to 776 of the family's 1533-position model. The record is from RNAcentral.